UACGGAGGAUGCAAGCGUUAUCCGGAAUGAUUGGGCGUAAAGGGUCCGCAGGAGGCAGUUCAAGUCUGCUGUCAAAGACCGGGGCUUAACUUCGGAAAGGCAGUGGAAACUGAACAGCUAGAGUAUGGUAGGGGCAGAGGGAAUUCCUGGUGUAGCGGUGAAAUGCGUAGAGAUCAGGAAGAACAUCGGUGGCGAAGGCGCUCUGCUGGACCAUAACUGACACUCAGGGACGAAAGCUAGGGGAGCGAAUGGG
This 253-nucleotide ribosomal RNA is filed under the name uncultured bacterium. RNAcentral describes it as "partial 16S ribosomal RNA". It matches the Rfam family "Bacterial small subunit ribosomal RNA", at positions 524 to 776 of the family's 1533-position model. The record is from RNAcentral.